GCCUUCGUGGUGUAGUGGUCAGCACGCUCGACGCGUAUUCGAGAGGUCAGUGGUUCGAUUCCCGGCGAAGGCG
RNAcentral lists this transfer RNA (73 nucleotides) under Stegodyphus mimosarum. It matches the Rfam family "tRNA". From Rfam's summary of the family: Transfer RNA (tRNA) molecules are approximately 80 nucleotides in length. Their secondary structure includes four short double-helical elements and three loops (D, anti-codon, and T loops). Lineage: Eukaryota; Metazoa; Arthropoda; Arachnida; Araneae; Eresidae. The record is from Rfam by way of RNAcentral.